GUGGGGAAUAUUGGACAAUGGGCACAAGCCUGAUCCAGCAAUGCCGCGUGGGUGAAGAAGGUCUUCGGAUCGUAAAGCCCUUUCGACAGGGACGAUGAUGACGGUACCUGUAGAAGAAGCCCCGGCUAACUUCGUGCCAGCAGCCGCGGUAAUACGAAGGGGGCUAGCGUUACUCGGAAUUACUGGGCGUAAAGGGCGCGUAGGCGGCUCUGUUAGUCAGGCGUGAAAUUCCUGGGCUUAACCUGGGGACUGCGCUUGAUACUGCAGGGCUUGAGGCCGAGAGAGGGUGGUGGAAUUCCCAGUGUAGAGGUGAAAUUCGUAGAUAUUGGGAAGAACACCGGUGGCGAAGGCGACCACCUGGCUCGGUUCUGACGCUGAGGCGCGACAGCGUGGGGAGCAAACAGGAUUAGAAACCCUUGUAGUCC
Molecule: ribosomal RNA, 425 nt
Filed under: uncultured bacterium
Lineage: Bacteria
Description: partial 16S ribosomal RNA
Rfam family: Bacterial small subunit ribosomal RNA
Source: RNAcentral